Malania oleifera is the source of this 437-nucleotide long non-coding RNA. RefSeq lists it as uncharacterized. The transcript has 2 exons. The record is from RefSeq and is a predicted model, not a curated record. NCBI's taxonomy places the organism in Eukaryota, Viridiplantae, Streptophyta, Magnoliopsida, Santalales, Ximeniaceae.
CUGGAAAGCGGGUCCGCGUGUUUGCUUCCCCCCACCGCUGCUUGAUGCACCGUUCACACCCACAUGCUCUCUCUCUCUCCCUGUGUGAAACCCUCUAGUUUUCGUUUGGGUUUCGGAACUUCUUCUCUCUCUAACCCAUCACGGCAGACCCGAGAGAUCGAGUCUCCUGCGACUGUUUCCGUUGGAAAUAUUCCGGAGCGUCCAUUUCUGCAAGUGGGCAAGUAUCUCCGAAGAAAUUAUAGUCCAGAAAUUCAUAUAGUGAAGACAAAGAGAGAAGGAAAAUUGAGAAUUGAAUAUUUAUGAGUGUGAAGAUUAUAUUAUGCAGAGACUCUUAUGUGUUCACAUUAUUUACAAAAAAAUUACAUCAAUUUAGUCUAAUAUAUUAUCUACAAUCAAAUCAAAUCAAUCAGUAAUAUCAAUCUCAACAAAUUAGCCCU